Daphnia pulex (common water flea) is the source of this 797-nucleotide long non-coding RNA. RefSeq lists it as uncharacterized. The transcript is spliced from 5 exons. Lineage: Eukaryota; Metazoa; Arthropoda; Branchiopoda; Diplostraca; Daphniidae. The record is from RefSeq and is a predicted model, not a curated record.
CCUCAUUGUAGAAGCAUUAUCACCUUGGGGAUUUCGUCUGUUGUGAUGUGCUGUGAUGCUGCGGUGGUGGAUUUUUCAUUUUUCGGUGAAGACGAGAUACCAUUUGAAGGGGAGAAUAUUAUUUAGUUGGAAGUUGGAACCCUAACUCAAGCACAGAAGAUAACCAUUGCUGCUGCCUUACAACCACAGGCAGGAAAAUUAUUCUUUUCUUCAGAAAAUUGGAAAGCUGCUGGAGUAAUCUAGUGUCCAUCCCCACUUGAUUAAUUUCGUGCCAGCUUGUGAAAGGCGUGAGGAAUUCAAAUUUAGCUGCUGCGUGCUGUCUGCAAGCAAGCAAUCCAAUUGGCUGUCGCUAGGUGGCGCGAGUGUCUUCAGGGGACCAAAUUCGGCCAUUUUGUUCCUUGACGCAGCAGAAGUGGGAUGCUGGUCGUGACGUUUCCCAUGAUGAAAAUGUAAAGGUGAUUUCAAUACCACUUUGUCAAAUCAUGUAACUCGGACUUGAGUGCCUGUCCAUUUUGCCGAAAUGUCGUGCCUCGUGUGUCUUGCUGCCUGCACCCAGUCGUACGUCUCGUCCCAUGACAAAGCAAAAGUCCGCUGUUGGUUACCUUGUUGCAGCCAGGUGGUGAAAGAUGUGAUGGAGACUAAUUGAACUGUUGUAUGCAGCGUGUGGUUCCAGUGUUAUCCUGAAGCAGCCUGAAUUUGCCAGUGAUAUCCGGGUUGCUGCCUUAAAGUUAAACAUUUUUCUCUCUUUGCAUUUGUGUAUUUUGCUCUGCCAAUGCUAUCCUGUGUUUGAAAUCUUU